UACGUAGGGUGCAAGCGUUAAUCGGAAUUACUGGGCGUAAAGCGUGCGUAGGCGGUCAUGUAAGUCGGGUGUGAAAGCCCCGGGCUCAACCUGGGAAUUGCAUUCGAGACUGCAUGGCUAGGGUGCGGAAGAGGGAAGCGGAAUUUCCGGUGUAGCGGUGAAAUGCGUAGAUAUCGGAAGGAACAUCAGUGGCGAAAGCGGCUUCCUGGUCCAGCACCGACGUUCAGGCACGAAAGCGUGGGGAGCAAACAGG
RNAcentral lists this ribosomal RNA (253 nucleotides) under uncultured bacterium. RNAcentral describes it as "partial 16S ribosomal RNA". It matches the Rfam family "Bacterial small subunit ribosomal RNA", at positions 524 to 776 of the family's 1533-position model. The record is from RNAcentral.